RNAcentral lists this ribosomal RNA (433 nucleotides) under uncultured bacterium. RNAcentral's name for it is "partial 16S ribosomal RNA". It matches the Rfam family "Bacterial small subunit ribosomal RNA", at positions 29 to 507 of the family's 1533-position model. The record is from RNAcentral.
AACGAACGCUGGCGGCAGGCCUAACACAUGCAAGUCGAGCGAGAUCUUCGGGUCUAGCGGCGGACGGGUGAGUAACGCGUGGGAAUAUGCCUCUUGGUACGGAAUAGCCUCGGGAAACUGGGAGUAAUACCGUAUGUGCCCUUUGGGGGAAAGAUUUAUCGCCAAGAGAUUAGCCCGCGUUGGAUUAGGUAGUUGGUGGGGUAAUGGCCUACCAAGCCGACGAUCCAUAGCUGGUUUGAGAGGAUGAUCAGCCACACUGGGACUGAGACACGGCCCAGACUCCUACGGGAGGCAGCAGUGGGGAAUCUUAGACAAUGGGGGCAACCCUGAUCUAGCCAUGCCGCGUGAGUGAUGAAGGCCUUAGGGUUGUAAAGCGCUUUCAGCUGGGAAGAUAAUGACGGUACCAGCAGAAGAAGCCCCGGCUAACUCCGUG